Molecule: non-coding RNA, 740 nt
Organism: Pelobates cultripes (western spadefoot toad)
Lineage: Eukaryota; Metazoa; Chordata; Amphibia; Anura; Pelobatidae
Source: the annotation of a GenBank genome assembly
CGAAUAUUGGAUGAAACAGGCCACAGCAUUUAUUAAACUUACAACUGUAGGACUCAUCCGAACUUUAUUCUUUUUCUUUAAUUCAAAUAUAAACAGAUAAAUAUAUAUACAUACCAUAAUUAACAUAUAAAUUAACAUAUAAAUUACACUUAUUGCCCUACAGCCUCCAACUUAAAUAACCGUCCUUGCCAACGAACUUAACCAGGUGCCUAUGCACCAAAACGUUACCCAUUGGUGUCUCGCCUCCCCCCUCGUCCAAAGCAAAAAUUCCCAUCAUCUUAAAUGCUCUACCACCCGCCGGCUUUUUGCUCGGUGGGCACGUCCUAUUCGGUAACUUAAAGGUUUACCUUACAGAGCAGGGGAGGUUGAGACCCACCAUGUCCAUCUCCUGACAUUCCAUCUGCUCCCCAACCCUGUUGGCAAGGACACACUCCCCGCCACAAACCCCGCUGUUUUAAACCUAAAAUCAGUGGGGAGCCCCACCAAAACCAACCAGGCCUGUUCCACCACUUUCUGCAUGGCAAGACGAAAAAAGGUCUAGCCGGACCUUCAUCACCCAGAAACACAGUAGCUGCCACAUGCGUGACAACACCCUGUGGCAAACCAAAAUCCCCUUACCUUCAAACACCUCGAAAGGCCCUCCAAUUUUUUUUUUUUUUAUACGGCAGCGUACCAUGCACUGAUUAUGGGCCCGCUGCCAAAAGGUACGGGAAUUGACCUCCGACCAAUCGGGGUUAUUU